Molecule: ribosomal RNA, 978 nt
Filed under: Salmonella enterica subsp. enterica serovar Agona
Lineage: Bacteria; Pseudomonadati; Pseudomonadota; Gammaproteobacteria; Enterobacterales; Enterobacteriaceae
Description: partial 23S ribosomal RNA
Rfam family: Bacterial large subunit ribosomal RNA
Source: RNAcentral
CAUCCUCCAAGGCUAAAUACUCCUGACUGACCGAUAGUGAACCAGUACCGUGAGGGAAAGGCGAAAAGAACCCCGGCGAGGGGAGUGAAAAAGAACCUGAAACCGUGUACGUACAAGCAGUGGGAGCACAGGUUUACCUGUGUGACUGCGUACCUUUUGUAUAAUGGGUCAGCGACUUAUAUUCUGUAGCAAGGUUAACCGCAUAGGGGAGCCGGAGGGAAACCGAGUCUUAAUUGGGCGUUAAGUUGCAGGGUAUAGACCCGAAACCCGGUGAUCUAGCCAUGGGCAGGUUGAAGGUUGGGUAACACUAACUGGAGGACCGAACCGACUAAUGUUGAAAAAUUAGCGGAUGACCUGUGGCUGGGGGUGAAAGGCCAAUCAAACCGGGAGAUAGCUGGUUCUCCCCGAAAGCUAUUUAGGUAGCGCCUCGUGAAUUCAUCUCCGGGGGUAGAGCACUGUUUCGGCUAGGGGGCCAUCCCGGCUUACCAACCCGAUGCAAACUGCGAAUACCGGAGAAUGUUAUCACGGGAGACACACGGCGGGUGCUAACGUCCGUCGUGAAGAGGGAAACAACCCAGACCGCCAGCUAAGGUCCCAAAGUCAUGGUUAAGUGGGAAACGAUGUGGGAAGGCCCAGACAGCCAGGAUGUUGGCUUAGAAGCAGCCAUCAUUUAAAGAAAGCGUAAUAGCUCACUGGUCGAGUCGGCCUGCGCGGAAGAUGUAACGGGGCUAAACCAUGCACCGAAGCUGCGGCAGCGAACGUAUCACUUAAAGCGAUUCAGCGGGUUACGAUUGACGGAGCGAAGCGACGUCAAAGCGUAUACAAAGUCGAGUCGGUUUAAGGAUACGUUCGUUGGGUAGGGGAGCGUUCUGUAAGCCUGCGAAGGUGGCCUGUGAGGGUUGCUGGAGGUAUCAGAAGUGCGAAUGCUGACAUAAGUAACGAUAAAGCGGGUGAAAAGCCCGCUCGCCGGAAGACCAA